Molecule: long non-coding RNA, 5160 nt
Organism: Chelonoidis abingdonii (Abingdon island giant tortoise)
Lineage: Eukaryota; Metazoa; Chordata; Testudines; Testudinidae
Source: RefSeq, a predicted model, not a curated record
UCAUACUCAGAAGUAUGAAGAGAAUGAAGCUAGAGGAAGUAGUGGUUGGUGAGUCAGCAUGAGUAAUUUUGUUCCAAUGAGAAUGAAGAUUGAGGGUUUUUUUUCCCUCUUAAACAUUUUGGACAUCAUUGCUUAAUGGAGGGAAAUAAGAGAUAUUAUGUCUGUGUAGCUAGUACUUCUUGAUUUUUAAAUCAAAAGAAAAUAUAUUUAGAAUCUAGAUAUGUGUCUUCAUAGGCACCCUCCUCGUAGGAAAGUGAGGGGGAAAACAGCUCCUGCUUGUCCAGAUGAGAGAAAGCCACAUUGCAUUCUAUUGCAUCAGACAAUGCAAGUCGUGGGCUCACCAGCACAAUGAUUACUGUCCAGACACAGCUGAGAUCCAGAAGAGGCCCUUCUACACUCCAGCAGGAGCCUGGGAUUUCGAAUCGUCAUGGGCUGGUCAAAGAAGAAGAAUUUGUGUGACGAACUUAGGGUGGACAUCCUGGAGACGGCCAGCCAGCAGGUGCAGUAGCAAAGGGGAAAGGAGUCUCAGCAAGUGGAAAGGCAGGAGAGCACUGGGGCAGAGCUGCAGUGUGGAAGGAGAGACUGCCUCUGGAGCAGGACUGCAGCAAAAAGACGUUCUUCAGGGGCUGCUUGCACUAAUGGCCACAAGGCUUCUGCCCCAUGUUCCGAGUGCCCUCCAGAGUGCCAUGUCUUGUGGGCCAGGAAUGCGUUGAACAAUACCAUGGUCCAAUGACCCGUGCUGCCUGGACAGGGUAAAUGUACUCCUGGCAGUCCUCACCCCCUUGCAGCCCUCCAUGCACCUUCACCAGCUCCACGCAGGUGGUAGAAAUGAGGAGGAGAAAGGGGGCUCUGGGCCAUGCAAAAGCCACCCAUAAGGACAAGAUUACAUAAAGCCACAGGCAUCAUUUGUGCUGCAACAAUGGAGUCUCAGCUAUGGGAGAGACCUUGGGCCUCUGUAGACAGGCUGAGGUGAUGCAUUCAGGUUCAUUUGGUUAGUGGUGGCAGAAAACUUUUAGAUGUAGGGAUCACCCAACACUCCCUGCCAGAGGAAUUAAUGGUUUUAAAAGCCAGAAUGUGGAAAGACUUAAAAAGGAAAAUAAAAGCAUCAGGAAAUGAGGAAGCAGGCACACAAGAGGAAAUAGGGCCGCGGUAUCUGACAGACAACUUGCUCUUUACUACAGGUUUUUUGUCACCAGGGAUAACCGUACCAUUGGCCAACCCCAAUGUUAGAAAAUAAGUUCCAACACCAGAAACAUGAGAGACACCCGGAAUUCAAGUAAAUUGUAGCAGACUGCAGAAUAAUUAAAGUGUAUCAACUAAUAAGGCUGAGUAAGACAAAAAUAUUGUGAAUUAAAGAAAGUUAUAAUUCAGUCAAGGGAAAUGUGUGUAAGCAAAGAAGAAACACUUGCUAGCUAUGACCACAUCCCCGAGAGAGGAGAAACAGGUGACCCUCUUCUCUUUAACCAGUUUACUUUUGACAGAUGUCAACUACAGAAGCCCCUACCAGUGAGCUGGUAGGAGAGAACUCGCUCCGAUGGCUCUUUCAGUUGGCUAUUACUACUAUAGGGUAAGGUUUCGAACAUUAAACCCAAAUAGGAAUGGCCAAACAGCAGGCAUUUUACCCAAAGCCUUUAUCAGGGUGCAGGAGAUCACCUAAUGGAGUUUCAACUUGAAAUGACAUUGGGGGAGGGAGUUCCACAGACUUAAAAGUUAGUUGGGUGCAAAGGAAGGGGGCAGAGGCUGGAGAAGGAAGGGAACCACAGGGGGUUGCCAUGUUCAAGGGAAUAAGAAUGAUGGAGAAGAGGCUGGCAGCAGAGGGACUGUGAUGGAUAGGGCGAGGAGGUCAGAGGCAGUAACCCAGCAGUGAAAGGGUUCAAUCCCACUUACAUGCAUAUACACUCCAUCAGCACAACUAACCAGAAUAAUAUUAACCCUUUAGAAAAUGCAGUUUUCCAAGGAUUCACUUCCCUACCUUAAUCUAAUGGACAUGAAAGAAUUAUCCAGGCAAGAGUCUGGAAUUUCAUUCCACUUAUGCCAAAAUACCCAAAUGAAAACAAUCCACAGGAGUUCAAUCCAGGGAAGCGAGUGUGUAGGGAACACACAGACCUUGACAGGAAGCUGCUCCUUCAAAGGCCUGUUGUGAGUGCCCGUUGUUACAACUUUUAGCUAUGCAUUCUGCUCAGUUUCCAGGUCUGAAUGAUGAAGUGAACCAUCUCCACAUCCACCGUUGGUAACUGCAUGCGCAGACACUGCUGAGCUCUGGUACUCUCUCAGAUGCUCUACAAGCAAUGUAUGACCUUACAGACCAUAUGAGCAGCAAUACCUAGCCAUAGGAACAGUGGCUGCUGUAAGAGGAUUCCUAAUAAGGGAAGUGACCUGCUACUUUUUGAAGUUAUUAUGCCAAUGCCUUUCAUUCCUUGUUCUUUUCUUUAACAUCCCAUCAUUUGCAGCUGGUCAAAUCACAAUAUAUUGCUCUCCUAGACUAAGCAAAGGAACAUGCUGGCAAACAGGACAUCACGCUAAAGUUGACAUCACUGCAGGAUUCCCAACCUCCGUUCAUGAGUUCAUUCAACAGAACGUUUGGGUGGCAGAUAUCCAACUAUUGGGGGGAGGGGAUGGGGGAGAAAAGUUAACAAUACAGAAGGAAAAACAUCAGGAGCAUGGAUAGUCUGAAAUUUAAGCACAGGCCUGUAGCCAAGAGGAGGCAUUGGGAGAGGUUUCCUUCCUACUGGGUCAAGCCAUAUUAACAGCAAUGAUCAGGUCAUACUGAAGUGACCCUGCUGGCUCAUCGCUGGAUACUUCCUCCCACCUCAGAUGAGAUGGUGGAAAUGGAACUAGCCACCAGAGGCCACUGUGUUAUCCAGUCCAACAUCCGCUAGCGCAGAGCUCCAAAUCCCUAGAGACCAGGAAAAAGGAAGUAUAAUCCUGAUGUCAGAAGCGAUCAGACUUGGGUGGGAAGCCCCAGCUUGUGCAAGAGCAGGAACAGCAGGCUGGAAGCAGUGGCAAAGCCAGACAGCCUGAGAGCUGGGAAUGAAAAGCUGAGACACACACAGGGAAGCAGCACGUUGCUGCUGGCUGAGGACACAGAGUAGCAACUUGCAAGUAAAUUCAUGGGAGUGGACAGCCUGGCUGGGCCCCAAUGAGAUAUGGACAGGAGGGCAGAACUCUGGCGGGGGAAUGGUAUUUAGUCCUGAGGGCCCAAUUACCUUUUAUAUUCUUCUGCUGGCCUAUCCUUAGGGCUUGAGUCUGUUGGGUUGAUCUUUUACAAAAACUGUUGACAUCACUGUCCUAAACUAUUAGCAUAUUUCUAAGGUUAAAAUAAUCAAGCUAAAUACAGUAAGAAAGGGCAGGGAGAGGGGGCAUAAGACUACUUUAAAAAAGUCCUGUCCAGGACAUCAUUAAGGGACUGGCAGGAAAUGCAUAGACUUGGCAGAGCCACGCUCUAUUUUCAUCCUAUUCUACACUGGACGCUCGCAUCUGCUUUUUACUGUCACUGACUUUCCACCUGGCACCCUAAGCUCAUGUGAUUCAGCUUGUGGGAACCCUUAUGUCUUUAUCUCAUGAGCAGUAUAGGACCUAACAAAGAUGAACAAAAAAUAUGAGUCAACUAUUGCUUUUGAAGCAACUAGGGUUUAAUACUAUCCGCUUCCCAUGGAAUUCUGAAUUGCUUUGAUCGCAAGCCAUGAUAGAAAAGAGUGAGCGACACACACGGCUGUAUUCACCAGAUCUCAGCUGUAGUAAUAAUGUGAAUUUUAGCGUAGCCUGCUGGUCUCUUUGCAUACGCUGCCUAAGGCAGAACAACUGCAUCAUUCACAAAAACAAGAGCAGAGCGACAGCAGUGAAGAGACAGACAAUGUACUUCAGGAGAGGAGUUAUUUGUUCUAAAACGGUCAUGUAGAGCCCAAACAAUCUUAAUAGGCAGGCACAGCCACCUAAAAAAGUGAAGACUUAUUCUGAACAAAAACAAGCUUCAAUACCUUUCUUCCUCUGUGCUGUACUCUUGUAAAAUGAUAAGAUACACUUUAUAUUUAGUGCAGGAAAUUCAUGCCUGUACAUGCCCUGGAGAAUAGCAGAAAUUAUGCCCUUGAUACAAAGAUGAGUUGUUUUUCUCAUGGCUCUAUCUAGUCAUAUGACAUAAUGAAUAGUCAUUAAAUGUACAUAGUUUCCAAUGUAGAGUGUAAGAGGAGACUUUUCCCCUCUUGCCCCUCCGACUCUGAAAUAUACCCGGGCUCUCUAAUCCAUCUACUUAUCCCCGUGCCACAAGAUUAGCACCGUUAGAACGCUGGCGGCCGAAUGCAGCCAGACAAGAUUGCCCAUUGCAACAGACUGAACAGCAGGAUUUGCAGGCCUGCAGCCUGCCUGCCUGCCAGGUCUAUUCUCCUCCCCUUUGUGAUAGAUGUCCAGCAAAUUACACAGUCAGAAGAAAUCCUGCACUGAGCCUCUAGCUGAGCAACUUCACGCAGUUCAGCAGCAGAUUAGGCAGACAGAAAAAACAGGGUUUGAGACAAAAGAAGAGAAGUGAAGAUUUAUAAUACAAGUAUGAGUACAUGGGAGGAGACAAACAAGGAAAGAUCUUGUCUUGCCAGACAGAGCACCUCCUGUCAGACAGAGCAUUUCACAGGCAGGGAUUCACUACAGGAUUCCACUGACUAAGGCCCCAGUCUACCCUAGAUACUUUUGCCUAUAGAACAGUGUCAGUUAGGACAGGGAUUUUGGGUUUUUUUGGAGUGCAUAACAUUUCCGUGCUGGCAAAGCACUGGUGUAGACGCAGUUAUCAUAGCAGUGCUUUCGCUAGUAAACCCAUUAUAAAAGUAUUGUUUAGCCUGUAUCAUCUGCAUCUACACUAGCAGGGUUUGCCAGUACCGGCAGACCCAGGUCUCGGCAGCCACCAUCCCAAUUCUAAUCACUCAAAUAAGGGAGGUUAUUUUCAACCACCAAUACUGUGCAGAGAUGUACAGCUCUUUACCCAUUCAUUGUCAAAGUGUUUGGUCACUACUGAUUUAAGGAACCUCUAAAAGUAGGGCCAAAAUUUAGUUUUGAUAUUUUAAGUUUAAAAGACAUAACAUUCUUCUCCAAGGCUGGAGAUGAGAAAGCAGCAGCACUGUGCUUGCAAAGCAGAAACAAGGAACAGCACAUUCCCAGUCACAGAGCGGGGGACGU